UUUUUUUUUUUUUUGGAAAAGAAAAAUUCUUAAAAUAAAUUCCCCACUAUGAGUGCUGUCAGUUUUCUUCAGCAGAUGAUUAUUAGGGUUCCAGAAGCAUAUUGGGAAAAUUUAGAAAGUUUAGUAUCUGAAACUUUUGAGGAUUUUUAAUUGUGCCUCUCUGUAAGAUGCCAUGAAUGGCAUCUAUGAAGAAAGAACAGGAUGUCUGACUCUACAGCAGCCAACAGCAAAAUUAGCACAAAAGGCAAUAAAAAGGUCAAGGCAGAGGCUGAAUAGGAGAAAUUCUAAGGAACUAACUGUAAUGCUGAGCAAAUAUAUUCUAGAGUUUAUCAUACAUGUUCCAAACAAACCUUCUGCAUGGCAGCAAGGUGUAGCUCAAAUGUUAGGACAGGCAAAAGAAAGACAGAACCUUAUACGAGGAAUUGAAGUGAUGAUCAUAUAAUGCCAUUGAAUGUCCAAUUUCAACUACUUUUGAAUUCAUAGAAGAAUAGAGAAUAGCUUGUGCUAUGCCCUAAAAAAAAGCCAAAUGAUGUAGUCCCAAGAGAAGGACUAAAUUUUAAUUCAUAAAGAUUUUCCCUUUAGUUUUUUAAUAUAUUCAUUGUCAUAGAAGUGUCUUUUGAUAAUUAAUAAUGUAGAUGGCCUUUGAUCAACCACAUAUGAGUAUUUUUAUAGUCUAUUUUCUUUCAAAUUAAGAGGGAUAUUGGAUAAUAUCCCUCUUCAUUGUACACCAUGAUUUUACUUUUGCUUUGCAUGUUGCUGUUUGAGUUUCGCCGGCUACUGGUCAAGAAAUCAUUGCACAUAGCUGAGUAAAGUCAUGUUAUAAGAAGGUUCUUCUUGUAAGCAGCAUCUGCCUGAAACUAAAUAUAUUCUAAUACUGAACAAUAUUAUUUUCACUAUGUAAUGCAGAAUAUAUUUCAAAUUUUUCCCUCUUCUUUAAAGAUCAGAUGUAACUGGGGGGAAAAAAAAAGAAAGAAAUGCCAGGUUGACUAUGGGAAAAAAGCAGAAACCCAGUGUGGGUCUCUCUCCUUCUGAUAGUUUAAAUUCAUGUCCUUCUCAUAGUGGCACAUGGCCAAAAUGAUAUAUAGAGCAGAUCAAACAAUGACUGUUGCACUCCAGAUGUUCGAUGUCCAAAUGAGCUAUGUUAUGCCUCUGUGGUGGUGGACUCAAAAAUCAGAAGUCUAGCUAAAAAUCUGGCCAUCAUAUUGUCAUUAUGUCAGUUAGAUAGGAAACGUAUAAAUGCUUUCUACUUAUGUGGGAAAAACUGGCAAUAAUUUGAAAUGUUUGAUACAGUCCUAAGUGGGGUAAAAGGACACCUCACCCUGAGGGCAGAUGUCAAUGCCAUGAUAUACACGUGGUAAAAAGCACAAUGUUCUUAUUGGCAUGAAAAAAACAACACAAAAUAUGUAGCACUAUUUUUUUUUUUUCUUUUUUUGAAGGAGAGUAGAUAUUCUCCCACUGUAUCCAUUACUGGAAGGGGACAGUUGGCACAUGAUGCCAAGUCGUGGGAGAAGACAGAGGGGAUUCUGUGUGCAGAGAAAGAGAAAAGAUCUGUGUUACACAGUUAAAAUGGGAAAUGGGUACCUGGAAUAAAAGUUGUGUAUGUCUGUAGAUAUAGUUACGUCUGUAUGUAAGCAAGAACAUAUCAGAAUAUCUAUUAUGUGAUAUAUUAGUAGUAAGAGAGUAACCUUGUGAAAUUAACAGGUUAUAUAAUUAAAAGCAAUAAAUAAAAGUUUGGUUUUGAAAAAUGAUCCAUAGAAAUCCUGAGGUAUUUUUAGAGAUGCACAGGAUCAGAUUACUUAGGUGAAUUACAAAAAACACCACAGUAGCAUUGCAAUGGAUAAAACAUUGCAAAGAACAGAAAAUUAUAUGUAUGACUUUCAGUGCACAAACCAACUGCUGUUGAGACAGGAAAUUCCCUUUGGGGAUUAAUGUUCAUUCAUCCUAAUACUAUUUGUUUGGAGCUUCUUGAAAUUGUUAAUAACUAGUAUUAACCCGUCCUGGAAAAUGGAUCACCAAAAACCUUGACUAUUUUUCUUAGCCAUUAUUAAUAGAAUUAAUACUAUUCAUAGAAUGGUUUGGGUUGUAAGGGAUCUUAAAGAUCAGCUAUUUCCAACCCCCUACCAAAGACGGGGAUACCUUCCCCUGAAUCAGGCUGCUGAGGCCCCAUCCUGGCCUUGAACACUGCCAGGAAUGGGACAGCCACAGCUUCCCUGGGCAACCUCACACCACCCUCACAGUGAGGAACUUCUUCCCAAUAUCUAAUCUACCCCUUAAAGCACUCCCUCUUGUCCUGUCAUUACAAAAAAGUAAUGCCUUUGUGAAAACGUCUCUCUCCAGCUCUCUUGGAGACCCCUUUAGGUGCUGGAAUGCUGCUCUAAGGUCUCCAUGGAGCCUUCUCUUCUCCAGGCUGAACAACCUCAAAUCUCUCAGCCUGUUUUCAUAGGAGAGGUACUCCAGUCCUUUGAGCAUCUUUGUAGCCAUCCUUAGGACCCAGUGCAACACAUUCAUAUAUUAAUAUUUGCUUUGAUUUCCCACAAACUUAAAAGAGAAUAAUUUGACUCCAGCUCCUAUUAGCUAGCUUCCUUCUAAAAUUUUUAUUAUAAUUUUUUCAUCUGUUUUGAGGACAUUUUCCUGAAGUAAGGAAUGUGGGGCUAUGACCUUUGUAAAAAUCUCUGUCAGAUGACAGUGAUUGUUCUGAUAAUUAUUGAUUAAUAAAGAAUAUAAGAAUAAUUGCUGCUUUCAAAUAUCCUGCAAAUCAUAGAAGCCUAUAUGAGGGCUUUCUCUAGGCAAGCUUCCAGAAUCGUCUUCCAGAAUGUUAUUUCCAAAUGAAGAAUUUUGAUAAAUUUAUUUCUUCCUGUACUGAAUUAAAUUAUCUUAAAAAGUACAAGGGUGGUGAUUCUUUACUUGAGUGGAUUUUACCUUAUUUUCAGGUAGGGCAUUCACUUAUGAAGUGGGUAGGAGUCCAAGAACUGGGAGUCUACUGCACCCAACAACUAAUGGAUGGGAAAAAAUUAAGUGUGAAUAAGUACGCAAGAUCAUACACACUGUAAAUGGGGCAUGCAAUUUUAAAAUAAAAAACCCAAAAUUCUUCUGUUAAAGCUAUUGUUAAUUAGAUAAUUUAAAUCUAUUAAACAAUAACUACUGAAUUAAAUCUGUUCCCUUUUCCAUGCUUUAUUUCUGUUGAUGAUUUCUUGUAAAAGUACAAUGAUCUCAGUUAUAUGAUUGUUCUACCCUUUAGUCUCAAUGCAUUGUGUAAAAUAUAAUGCAGUACAGAUGUCAACCUAAGAACUAAAUAGCUUAUAUUUCUAAAGAACCAUGAAAAAAUAUUAACACUAUAGAAACAAUAGUUCAGUAAUUACUUUUUGCUGUGAAGUGAGGUUAGGGAUUUAUCCUUAUAGAUCCCUAAUACACUUAAAGUCAGCACUGCCCCUGUGGUGCUUUUACCUUUGUUGAUAAAUGUAUUGUACAGGAUACCUUGUAUGACCACUACAGUAUUUGAGGUCAUGCUAGGCUGUUAGCACAAAUGGUGUGAACAAUAGUUUAUAUGCCACUUAACUCCUUAGAAGAAACAGUUAACCUUGCCAGAGAGGACAGAUCAGUCAUGUAUAGUUAUUAAAGUCUAGAAGGUUUUGUUAUGCUCUCAAAUACUUUUACAGAACUGUAAUACUCUGGUACGAGCUUUACCAAAUAGGGGAGCAACAAAGUCAAGAAUCAGCUUUGCCACCUUUGAAAAGGAUAUUCAAAGUUUUCUAAAAAAGUAUUUUACCAGACCUACUUUUGAGCACACAAAUUGUGAUAUAUUUAAUCACCAGAAUUUUUGAACAUGGCUAACUAAGUAGCAGUAUAUGAAGUCACUCUCUUAAAACAACUAAGUUUAUGAAAAUUUAUUGUGAAUUUGAUGGCCUUGAAAUGGACAGGCAACAAAAAACCUCAUAGAUCUUCUUGAUUACAGUUUUCCAAAUAAUGAUGAAACAUCAUAAAUGACACAGAUGAGCGUCAUAAUUGAAUUUUAUUUAACAAGCAAUUAACUAUAAAAAUAACUUCCAACAAAAUAUCCUUUUCCAGAAUUUCUCAUGAAUAGAAGUGACAGAGUGCACAAAUAAUAAAACACACUAGGAGAUUACUGAGGACGUAUCAGGUAUUCCACAUACAUAUGGCAAUGACACUGAUUUUAACACAGAUGACCCAGUUUCAUGACAUAAUGUGCUGCUUCUACAUUGUUGUUUAUUCCAGUGGAUUGAUUGUCAGAUCCAAACAAUUUUUGGCACUUUUAUAAAACACAAAUCUGAAGGCAGCCUCAUCUGUUUCUGGUUCAGGCAUAGAAGCCUGUCAGCCCCUGUACUUGCAUGUGUGUUUGCAUGCAAGCAAACAUCAUUAACCACCACUGAAUCUUUACAUUUUAAGGGUUAAUUCAGAAUUAGUGUAGCUGUCUUAGUCUGGCCUGCAUUUUCAAUGCAGCACAUAUUAGUCACUUCCUCUCCUCCAGCUCUGGUUUAACAUCCCUAUAUGCAAAUGCUCCCCCAGGCAGGGUUUGAGGUUACAGAGGAGUGGUCUCCUCCCCUUGCCACCCAAUCUGCCACAUGCCAUGUGCCUCAUCCAUGCUGCGCUGCCUCACCCCUCUUCCCAGGGUGGACCUCUCUCUGAUUCUGCCUGGAUUGUUGAUACCCAACUCUGCAGCUAAGGUGGCAAAGACUCACUCAGCCUUGUGGAAGCUCUUUCCACUGGCACACUUAUGUCCCAUGCAAGCAUGGGAACUCUCAGCAUGACAUCAGCUUCCAAGUCUCUGAGCAGGAAACUCUACCAUGUCCCAGGGUAGAUGGGAGGAAACACAUUCC
Molecule: long non-coding RNA, 4835 nt
Filed under: Taeniopygia guttata (zebra finch)
Lineage: Eukaryota; Metazoa; Chordata; Aves; Passeriformes; Estrildidae
Description: lncRNA (ENSTGUG00000025007.1)
Source: RNAcentral